GUGUCCGUUCGUCUUCCGACUUCCUCUUUCCGCGCGCGCUUGAGUGGUUCUUCGUUAGGGGGGCUUUGUGAAAGUGCUCGUUGCGGCCGGUAUUUCGGAGGAGAUACGCUGUUUGUCCUCCGAUCGGAGGAUUCGCGCGGAUGGUGGACCCGCGGUUGUUGGGUGUUGAUUCAUGAAGAGCUUAAAUAAGUGGCCAGCCGUUGCCGUUGGACUUUAGGGCUGAAGUGACCUAACAACUUCCGUAAACAAGAUUCCCCCUCAUUUUAAUCCAAGUUACCACCACAUGAUGUUCGCCUGUUUGAUGACCUGUCUACUCGCCGUUAAAGGUAUAAACGCACAAGCAGUCAUCGGAGCCUUGACUCUAGGCCAGGGCACAAUGAAUGCAAGCAGAGAUAAUUGUUCUUGGAGGAGGGAUGUGGAGGACGCUUGUCCUGACCCCGAAAUCAACUUCUCCUUGUAUACC
This is a non-coding RNA of Bemisia tabaci, 463 nucleotides long. The record is from RefSeq and is a predicted model, not a curated record. NCBI's taxonomy places the organism in Eukaryota, Metazoa, Arthropoda, Insecta, Hemiptera, Aleyrodidae.